AGGCAAACAAUAAGACUUUAGGCAGCUCCACAGUCUGAGUGUCUUAUUCUUAACUGUGACUUGGAAACUAGCACAGUACUUGGCACACUCCAGUACUUAAUAACUAUCUACAGAUCUAAAUAGCAUGGUUUGAAGUCUUUUGAUUAUAGCUGAAAAUCAUGUAUGGGAAUGAAUUUUUAUUUUAAAUAAGUGGUAAAAAUCUUAAAAUGCCAACAUUUAAUGAGUUAGCAUAUAUGCCUGCCUGGGUUGCUCAAGUUAGUUAAUGUUAACCCAAUAUGCCAAGGUUGUAGGUUCUAUUCCCAGUCAGGAAACAUACAAGAAUCAACCAAUGAACACAUAAACUAGUAGAACAGCAAAUUGACAUUU
This is a long non-coding RNA of Phyllostomus discolor (pale spear-nosed bat), 366 nucleotides long. RefSeq lists it as uncharacterized. The record is from RefSeq and is a predicted model, not a curated record. Lineage: Eukaryota; Metazoa; Chordata; Mammalia; Chiroptera; Phyllostomidae. The transcript is spliced from 2 exons.